AACAGUGGUAGGGCUACUCUCUAUUGGCAUGCCGUUAUAUGUAUUGUGACUCCCUCACAUAUAAAUUUCAGCUGACACGCCAAAGGAGAGCUGCCCUGUUACUGUCUC
Molecule: microRNA precursor, 108 nt
Filed under: Nicotiana tabacum (common tobacco)
Lineage: Eukaryota; Viridiplantae; Streptophyta; Magnoliopsida; Solanales; Solanaceae
Description: miR399a stem-loop (nta-MIR399a)
Gene: nta-MIR399a
Source: miRBase by way of RNAcentral